This is an RNA transcript of Egretta garzetta (little egret), 1339 nucleotides long. It is a transcript of the gene named coiled-coil domain containing 90B, with no coding region annotated. NCBI's taxonomy places the organism in Eukaryota, Metazoa, Chordata, Aves, Pelecaniformes, Ardeidae. The record is from RefSeq and is a predicted model, not a curated record. The transcript is spliced from 10 exons.
AUAACACGCCUGCCUUUGGGGCUGCGGCACGCCCGAGGCAAGGGCUGUGCUGCAAGGGCUGUGCUACACGGGCAAGAGCAGACGAUGCGGUGGCUUACGGGGCCUGACGGAGAAUGUUUGAGACGGGAGGCGCAAUGGGAGUUAGCCGAGGGGUGCAGAAGGUCAUCGCCAAGUGGUGUCUCAGAUGCGGCCUGUGAAAACAUCAGUUUUGCUGCCACAUUCAUUAGAAAGUCAUAUGAUGUCAGAAGAGUUGAAAUCACUCCCCUGGAGCAGAGGAAGGUAACUUUUGAUACCCAUGCUUUAGUGCAGGAUCUGGAAGCCCACGGCUUUGGGAAGGAGCAGGCGGAGACCAUCGUAUCAGCAUUAAUAACCCUGUCGAAUGUCAGCUUAGACACAGUCUAUAAGGAUAUGGUUACACAGGCUCAGCAGGAAAUAACUUUACAGCAGAUAAUGGCGCAUUUGGACUCCAUUCGAAAAGAUAUGGUUAUCCUGGAGAAAAGUGAAUUUGCAAACUUGAGAGCAGAGAAUGAGAAAAUGAAAAUUGAAUUGGAUCAAGUUAAACAGCAGCUAAUGAAUGAAACCAGUAAAAUCCGAGCUGACAGCAAGCUAGACAUAAACCUGGAAAGGAGCAGAGUGACGGACAUGUUUACAGAUCAGGAGAGGAAACUGAUGGAAGCAACUACAGAGUUUCAUAAAAAAGAUUCAAGUACCAACAGUGUUAUCUCGGAAAUCAGUAACAAAAUUGACACUGAAAUAGCUUCCUUAAAAACACUCAUGGAAUCCAAUAAACUUGAUACAAUACGUUACUUGGCAGCUUCGGUAUUCACUUGCUUGGCAAUAGCGCUGGGAUUUUACAGGUUCUGGAAAUAGAUCUGACUGGAAUGACUGCGUGAAAUACAAAUGGAGGAAAGGACACCCAGGCAACAUCAGCCAGACGAUCACGUGUGCGCUGUAGAUAACCUUGGCAUGGAGGAGAGAUCAGGAUUGCUGUCCCUAACUGCACCAGGCCUCAUAACCUAGAGAACUCCUCAGCCCUGGGUUAGACUCCGUGGCCCGCUGCUGCAGCCCCUCGUGGUGGUGUUCAGCCCCUCGUGAGGGAGUAGCUUCCUGGCUUACUUAGGAAUCACUUGAAGAUGAAAAUCACAGGGCCCAGCAUCUCUCUGCAGCUGAGAAGCACUUCUCCCAGACCCGUGUUCUGGUUCCACUCUGAAGGUCCCAUCUGAUUAUUUUAGGAGGUAAGGUGCUUCCCCCACCCUCCUAAGGCAGCGCUACUGUCCUGGUUUCAGCUGGGAUAGAAUUGAUUUUCUUCCUAGUAGCUGGCACAGUGCUGUGGUUUGGA